RNAcentral lists this ribosomal RNA (450 nucleotides) under uncultured bacterium. RNAcentral's name for it is "partial 16S ribosomal RNA". It matches the Rfam family "Bacterial small subunit ribosomal RNA", at positions 354 to 796 of the family's 1533-position model. The record is from RNAcentral.
GUGGGGAAUUUUGGACAAUGGGCGCAAGCCUGAUCCAGCAAUGCCGCGUGCAGGAAGAAGGCCUUCGGGUUGUAAACUGCUUUUGUACGGAACGAAACGGCUCUGGUUAAUACCCGGGGCUAAUGACGGUACCGUAAGAAUAAGCACCGGCUAACUACGUGCCAGCAGCCGCGGUAAUACGUAGGGUGCAAGCGUUAAUCGGAAUUACUGGGCGUAAAGCGUGCGCAGGCGGUUGUGUAAGACAGGCGUGAAAUCCCCGGGCUCAACCUGGGAAUUGCGCUGGUGACUGCACAGCUGGAGUGCGGCAGAGGGGGAUGGAAUUCCGCGUGUAGCAGUGAAAUGCGUAGAUAUGCGGAGGAACACCGAUGGCGAAGGCAAUCCCCUGGGCCUGCACUGACGCUCAUGCACGAAAGCGUGGGGAGCAAACAGGAUUAGAUACCCGUGUAGUCC